Molecule: unclassified non-coding RNA, 1942 nt
Filed under: uncultured fungus
Lineage: Eukaryota; Fungi
Description: sequence contains 18S rRNA gene, ITS1, 5.8S rRNA gene, ITS2, 28S rRNA gene
Rfam family: Eukaryotic large subunit ribosomal RNA (bases 809-1942)
Source: RNAcentral
GGAAGGAUCAUUAACACGUUCCACGUAUCAACCCGAGCACUCGUUUUUACUCUGAUUAAGCUCCAGUUUAGCACCCUACAAACCUCGCAUUUCAGUCCGCAAACGAUAAGGAAACAGACUGAUCAAGUCUGGCGGCUGGCGAUUUGGUAUAGUCUCCUCUGCAAUUAAUAUUAAUUGCAGAGGAGAAAGGGCUCUGGAUGUCUGGUCAUGCCUUCUAUUCCUUGUCGAUCUUUCACAUCAUUUACCCCAUUCCAAAACGUACUAAUUUAUAUUUCUUUCUUAAGAAAUUGGAACACUUUCUGCUGCUUUACCGCAGUCGGGAGCGCUCUAACCAACUAAGAAAAACCUUAAGAACAACUCUUAACAACGGAUAUCUUGGCUCUCGCAUCGAUGAAGAACGCAGCGAAAUGCGAUACGUAAUGCGAAUUGCAGAAUUCAGUGAAUCAUCAAAUCUUUGAACGCAACUUGCGCUCUUGGGUAGCCCUGAGAGCAUGCCUCUCUGAGUAUCGAUUCUAACCCCACUCGUCUGCGUAGUCCUUUACAGGAUUAUGCAGUACGGAUACUGAGUGUCUCGACCUGUCAAAAGGUUGCGUCACUUGAAAUGGUUCGAGCCUGCCUUUGUGUGCCUCUUCUCUUCUGGUUGAGAAGCUUUAACGCUUCACAGCCUCGAGUUGAUGUUUGAUAAUUCGGCUUUACUGCUGAUCACUCACAUCCUGACUUCGAGGUUGGAAAUCAGUUUUACCGAGGAUUGUGCAACUAUCACGAAGUGGCUUCCAAACAAGGACCCCGUCAAAUCAUUUUUGAAUUUUGAUCUCAGAUGAAGUAAGAUUACCCGCCGAAUUUAAGCAUAUUAUUAAGCGGAGGAAAAGAAACUAACAAGGAUUCCCCUAGUAACGGCGAGUGAAGCGGGAUGAGCUCAACCUGAAAAUCGGUUUGCCUAGCGGCAUUUCGAAUUGUGGGCUAGAGACGCGAUCUCAGUUGUGACCCGGGCCUAAAUCUCUUUGAAAGAAGGUAUCGUAGAGGGUGAGAAUCCCGUCUUCGACCCGGAGUUCGCAGCGUACGAGUCGUGUUCAACGAGUCGAAUAGCUUGGGAAUGCUGUUCAAAAUGGGUGGUAAAUUUCAUCUAAAGCUAAAUAUAGGCGAGAGACCGAUAGCGAACAAGUACCGUGAGGGAAAGAUGAAAAGAACUUUGAAAAGAGAGUUAAAAAGUACUUGAAAUUGUUAAGAGGGAAGCACUGGAAACCAGUUGUGCCUAUGUGAAUUCUCUCCAUCUGCAGGGUUGCUGAUCGAUCGGAGUGACCUUAAAAGCGCUCCGGUUGGUUGGUGGUUUUGCAGGUGGCUUCUGUUCAUAUGGGUGAGUCAUGAUCAAGUAGAGCUGUGGGAGAAAACUCGUGGGGAGGUAGUUUUUGGGGUAACUCGAAUCCACAUAUAGCCUGUGAGUCCUACUAUGGCACUGCUUGAGGUGCCAUCUGAUAAUCCGCGCGCAAGCUGCGAGUGCCCUCUCCUAUUGCCUGAUUGGGUUUGGAGAACAAAGUUCUGCGGCCUGAGAAGGGUAGUACUGAGGGGGACACCGACAUGCGGAUUCGCGAUCUUGACAAAAUGGUUUUCAUUGACCCGUCUUGAAACACGGGACCAAGGAGUCUAACAUCUAUGCGAGUAUUUGGGUGUCAAAACCCUGGUGCGUAAUGAAAGUGAAGGCGUCGUAUGACGCUGAGGUAGGAACCUUUGAAAGAAGGGGCACUAUCGACCGAUCGUUCAUUUAUGAAAGAUUUGAGUAAGAGCAUAUCUGUUGGGACCCGAAAGAUGGUGAACUAUGCCUGACCAGGGUGAAGCCAGGGGAAACUCUGGUGGAGGCUCGUAGCGAUACUGACGUGCAAAUCGUUCGUCUGAGUUGGGUAUAGGGGCGAAAGACUAAUCGAACCAUUUAGUAGCUGGUUCCCUC